Molecule: ribosomal RNA, 250 nt
Filed under: uncultured bacterium
Lineage: Bacteria
Description: partial 16S ribosomal RNA
Rfam family: Bacterial small subunit ribosomal RNA
Source: RNAcentral
UACGGAGGGUGCGAGCGUUAAUCGGAAUUACUGGGCGUAAAGCGUACGUAGGCGGUUUGUUAAGCAGGAUGUGAAAUCCCCGGGCUCAACCUGGGAACUGCAUCCUGAACUGGCAGGCUAGAGUGCAGUAGAGGAUAGUGGAAUUCCUGGUGUAGCAGUGAAAUGCGUAGAUAUCAGGAGGAACAUCGAUGGCGAAGGCAGCUAUCUGGACUGACACUGACGCUGAGGUACGAAAGCGUGGGGAGCAAAC